UCAGGACGAACGCUGGCGGCGUGCUUAACACAUGCAAGUCGAGCGGAAAGGCCCUUCGGGGUACUCGAGCGGCGAACGGGUGAGUAACACGUGAGCAACCUGCCCCAGGCUUUGGGAUAACCCCGGGAAACCGGGGCUAAUACCGAAUAUGACCUUCGGUCGCAUGACUGUUGGUGGAAAGUUUUUCGGCUUGGGAUGGGCUCGCGGCCUAUCAGCUUGUUGGUGGGGUGAUGGCCUACCAAGGCGACGACGGGUAGCCGGCCUGAGAGGGCGACCGGCCACACUGGGACUGAGACACGGCCCAGACUCCUACGGGAGGCAGCAGUGGGGAAUAUUGCACAAUGGGCGGAAGCCUGAUGCAGCGACGCCGCGUGAGGGAUGACGGCCUUCGGGUUGUAAACCUCUUUCAGCAGGGACGAAGCGUAAGUGACGGUACCUGCAGAAGAAGCACCGGCCAACUACGUGCCAGCAGCCGCGGUAAGACGUAGGGUGCGAGCGUUGUCCGGAUUUAUUGGGCGUAAAGAGCUCGUAGGCGGCUUGUCGCGUCGACUGUGAAAACCCGCAGCUCAACUGCGGGCCUGCAGUCGAUACGGGCAGGCUAGAGUUCGGUAGGGGAGACUGGAAUUCCUGGUGUAGCGGUGAAAUGCGCAGAUAUCAGGAGGAACACCGGUGGCGAAGGCGGGUCUCUGGGC
Molecule: ribosomal RNA, 692 nt
Filed under: Microbispora sp. P3838
Lineage: Bacteria; Bacillati; Actinomycetota; Actinomycetes; Streptosporangiales; Streptosporangiaceae
Description: bacterial SSU rRNA
Rfam family: Bacterial small subunit ribosomal RNA
Source: RNAcentral